UGUGCCAGCAGCCGCGGUAAUACGGAGGAUCCAAGCGUUAUCCGGAUUUAUUGGGUUUAAAGGGAGCGUAGAUGGAUGUUUAAGUCAGUUGUGAAAGUUCGGGGCUCAACCCCGGAAUUGCAGUUGAUACUGGAUAUCUUGAGUACAGUUGAGGUAGGCGGAAUUCGUGGUGUAGCGGUGAAAUGCUUAGAUAUCACGAAGAACUCCGAUUGCGAAGGCAGCUUACUAAGCUGUAACUGACAUUGAAGCUCGAAAGUGUGGGUAUCAAACAGGAUUAGAUACCCUGGUAGUCCACACGGUAAACUAUGGAUACUCGCUGUAGGCGAUACACAGUCUGCGGCCAAGCGAAAGCAUUAAGUAUCCCACCUGGGGAGUACGCCGGCAACGGUGAAACUCAAAGGAAUUGACGGGGGCCCGCACAAGCGGAGGAACAUGUGGUUUAAUUCGAUGAUACGCGAGGAACCUUACCCGGGCUUAAAUUGCAACUGAAUAGCUGAGAGAUCAGUUAGCUAGCAAUAGCAGUUGUGAAGGUGCUGCAUGGUUGUCGUCAGCUCGUGCCGUGAGGUGUCGGCUUAAGUGCCAUAACGAGCGCAACCCUUGUCGAUAGUUACUAACAGUUAAUGCUGAGGACUCUAUCGAGACUGCCAUCGUAAGAUGCGAGGAAGGUGGGGAUGACGUCAAAUCAGCACGGCCCUUACGUCCGGGGCUACACACGUGUUACAAUGGAGGGUACAGAAGGCAGCUACACGGCGACGUGAUGCUAAUCCCGAAAACCUUUCUCAGUUCGGAUCGAAGUCUGCAACCCGACUUCGUGAAGCUGGAUUCGCUAGUAAUCGCGCAUCAGCCAUGGCGCGGUGAAUACGUUCCCGGGCCUUGUACACACCGCCCGUCAAGCCAUGGAAGCCGGGGGUACCUGAAGUACGUAACCGCAAGGAGCGUCCUAGGGUAAAACUGGUAACUGGGGCUAAGUCGUAACAAGGUAACCA
RNAcentral lists this ribosomal RNA (986 nucleotides) under uncultured bacterium. RNAcentral's name for it is "bacterial SSU rRNA". It matches the Rfam family "Bacterial small subunit ribosomal RNA", at positions 504 to 1502 of the family's 1533-position model. The record is from RNAcentral.